UCCUACGGGAGGCAGCAGUAGGGAAUCUUCCGCAAUGGGCGAAAGCCUGACGGAGCAACGCCGCGUGAGUGAUGAAGGUCUUCGGAUCGUAAAGCUCUGUUGUUAGGGAAGAACAAAUGUGUAAGUAACUGUGCACAUCUUGACGGUACCUAACCAGAGAGCCACGGCUAACUACGUGCCAGCAGCCGCGGUAAUAC
RNAcentral lists this ribosomal RNA (197 nucleotides) under uncultured bacterium. Its description in RNAcentral is "partial 16S ribosomal RNA". It matches the Rfam family "Bacterial small subunit ribosomal RNA", at positions 337 to 526 of the family's 1533-position model. The record is from RNAcentral.